CGAAAGUGAAAGUAAAGCUGAACAGCAGCUCGACUCCUGAAACUAUCUUCAUGGUUCGAUUCAGUGAAAAUGGCGACGAGAUCCGAAUCACUUUCUGAGAUGUCAGCGAUCAGCUCCAGUCCAGAUGAUCCAGAGAUCUGGAUUCUUCUGAUGGGGCUCAUCUGUAAACACUGUAC
This is a long non-coding RNA of Sinocyclocheilus rhinocerous, 176 nucleotides long. RefSeq lists it as uncharacterized. The record is from RefSeq and is a predicted model, not a curated record. NCBI's taxonomy places the organism in Eukaryota, Metazoa, Chordata, Actinopteri, Cypriniformes, Cyprinidae. The transcript is spliced from 3 exons.